CGUAAAGGGACUGCCGGUGUUAAACCGGAGGAAGGUGGGGAUGACGUCAAGUCCUCAUGGCCUUUAUGACCAGGGCUACACACGUACUACAAUGGCCGAUACAAAGGGCAGCGACACUGCGAGGUGAAGCCAAUCCCGUAAAAUCGGUCUCAGUCCGGAUUGGAGUCUGCAACUCGACUCCAUGAAGUUGGAAUCGCUAGUAAUCGUGGAUCAGCAUGCCACGGUGAAUACGUUCCCGGGCCUU
Molecule: ribosomal RNA, 244 nt
Filed under: uncultured Desulfobulbus sp.
Lineage: Bacteria; Pseudomonadati; Thermodesulfobacteriota; Desulfobulbia; Desulfobulbales; Desulfobulbaceae
Description: partial 16S ribosomal RNA
Rfam family: Bacterial small subunit ribosomal RNA
Source: RNAcentral